GACGAACGCUGGAGGCGUGCUUAACACAUGCAAGUCGAACGAUGAAAUGGAGCUUGCUCCAUGGAUUAGUGGCGAACGGGUGGGUAACACGUGAAUAACCUGCCCUUAAUUUUGGAAUAACCCAGGGAAACCUGGGCUAAUACCGGAUAAGUAAACCUGUGGCAUCACAUGGUUUUGGAAAGUUCUGCGAUUAAGGAUGGAUUCGCGGCCUAUCAGCUUGUUGGUGAGGUAAUGGCUCACCAAGGCGACGACGGGUAGCCGGCCUGAGAGGGUGAACGGCCACACUGGGACUGAGACACGGCCCAGACUCCUACGGGAGGCAGCAGUGGGGAAUAUUGCGCAAUGGACGAAAGUCUGACGCAGCGACGCCUCGUGAGGGACGAAGGUCUUCGGAUUGUAAACCUCUUUCAGCAGGGACGAAGCGAAAGUGACGGUACCUGCAGAAGAAGCACCGGCUAACUAUGUGCCAGCCGCCGCCGUAA
RNAcentral lists this ribosomal RNA (482 nucleotides) under uncultured bacterium. RNAcentral's name for it is "partial 16S ribosomal RNA". It matches the Rfam family "Bacterial small subunit ribosomal RNA", at positions 28 to 523 of the family's 1533-position model. The record is from RNAcentral.